AAAAACAGUAGAAAACCAGCGUCAACACACUGCAUUUAUAGCUAAAACAGCAUAUACUUUGCUGUUACACCAUCCAAAAACUACAUUUAUAGCAAAAAAAAAAGCAUAUGGUGCAGCUUUAGUUUGUUACGUACAUUUUCCCAAAUUGACUAACAUCUAACUACGCAAACAAAAUACCAAAACUAUGAUUCUUAUAUAAUUACUUUCCAAAAUAAAUGAGCUUGUUC
This 227-nucleotide long non-coding RNA is filed under the name Actinidia chinensis (golden kiwifruit). RNAcentral describes it as "long non-coding RNA (ACHI_LNC004437)". Lineage: Eukaryota; Viridiplantae; Streptophyta; Magnoliopsida; Ericales; Actinidiaceae. The record is from RNAcentral.